Molecule: ribosomal RNA, 245 nt
Filed under: uncultured Roseivirga sp.
Lineage: Bacteria; Pseudomonadati; Bacteroidota; Cytophagia; Cytophagales; Roseivirgaceae
Description: partial 16S ribosomal RNA
Rfam family: Bacterial small subunit ribosomal RNA
Source: RNAcentral
UACGGAGGGUGCAAGCGUUGUCCGGAUUUAUUGGGUUUAAAGGGUGCGUAGGCGGCUCUUUAAGUCAGUGGUGAAAUCCUGCAGCUUGACUGUAGAACAGCCAUUGAUACUGAAGAGCUUGAGUACAGACGAGGUAGGCGGAAUUUAUGGUGUAGCGGUGAAAUGCAUAGAUACCAUAAAGAACCCCUAUUGCGAAGGCAGCUUACUAGGCUGUAACUGACGCUGAGGCACGAAAGCGUGGGGAU